AUUGAACGCUGGCGGCAUGCCUUACACAUGCAAGUCGAACGGCAGCACGGGAGCAAUCCUGGUGGCGAGUGGCGAACGGGUGAGUAAUAUAUCGGAACGUGCCCGGUCGUGGGGAUAACGUAGCGAAAGCUACGCUAAUACCGCAUACGAUCUACGGAUGAAAGCGGGGGAUCGCAAGACCUCGCGCGAUUGGAGCGGCCGACAUCAGAUUAGGUAGUUGGUGAGGUAAAGGCUCACCAAGCCGACGAUCUGUAGCUGGUCUGAGAGGACGACCAGCCACACUGGGACUGAGACACGGCCCAGACUCCUACGGGAGGCAGCAGUGGGGAAUUUUGGACAAUGGGCGCAAGCCUGAUCCAGCAAUGCCGCGUGCAGGAUGAAGG
Molecule: ribosomal RNA, 383 nt
Filed under: uncultured bacterium
Lineage: Bacteria
Description: bacterial SSU rRNA
Rfam family: Bacterial small subunit ribosomal RNA
Source: RNAcentral